RNAcentral lists this long non-coding RNA (1207 nucleotides) under Homo sapiens (human). Its description in RNAcentral is "long independently transcribed non-coding RNA 1667 (LINC01667)". The record is from RNAcentral. Lineage: Eukaryota; Metazoa; Chordata; Mammalia; Primates; Hominidae.
AGUGCUUGGGUAUCGAGGCUCUGAGACUCCGGCCUCACCUCUCCACGGGGUCGAAGGGAACCUCUCCUGAUGACAGCAGUCGCAAAGGGCCGACCAUGAUGAUGAAACCCCAGGCGGAGACGGGGGAAGCAGCACGGGAUCCCAGCCUCAGGCCUGCACGGACGGUGUUGGUUGGGUCACUGUCAUGGCUAAGAAAGCAACUCCAACCCACACACUGCAAAUAUGAAGGACCACGAAAGGCACGCAGGCUCUGGUUUGCAUAGUGAAGAUGAGCGUCUGUGUUCCUAAGCAUGAAGGAGGACCACAUGAGUAUCCUGGACACCUACUGCAUGAAUGUAUUCGCCCUUUCAGAUCUAGGGACCUGGGUACCUUGGGACAGAGGGAGUGCAGAGCAGAGAAAACCUACCUGUGCAACUGAGAAGGCCGCUCAGGCCACGGGGACAGGGCAGGAAUGCUCUCAGGAGUGUCCCCUGAACCUGAACUUGAUUUCACGCCAUCACCUUCCACCUCUUAACCAGCAUCUCCUGGACAGUCAGCCGAGUGUUUCCAUGAUACCAGCCAUACCUGAUGCCAGGAGACUCGCUACACUUGGAAGCUCUUCAAGAUGUGUAUUGAAUUUGCAGAAGGCCUCUUUUCCAAAUGAUCAAUGAAUUUCAACACCAGAGUCUUGGAGUCAGACAAGGAAACUUUCAGUUUAACAGCCUCCCAGGAUGUCAACUGGAAGAUCAUGCCACUCCUGACAAUGAGAAGAGGAGUUCCCUGUGCAAGGGAAGCACAUGGUAGGGUUAAUGCUACAUGGAACAUGAACUCUGAAGACCCUCAUUUUGGUUUCCAUGAAGGUGGUGAAGGUUCUCCAAAUAAAAGCAUUUCCAAUAAGGGUGAAGAGUAGAGAGCAGUGAUGUUUCCAAAAAGUUUAGAAUUCCUCCUUCAAAUGACUUCCUAAUGAAUAUCAGAAGGCAAUGUGUGGAGUCACAAGUCAUUGGAAUGGCACCCACUGUGUAAUUUCAACAAAACACUUCAUCCCUCUGAGCCUCUGGUGGCUCAUCUGUAAAUUAAGGCAAAUUCUAUCUUCAAAUUUCUUCACUCUUUGAUCAACAACUUUUAUUCAACUUUGUUGAAAAGAACAAAAAAAUUGCAUCUCUGGUUGAAUUUGGUGGCUCUUUUUCUGGUUAAUAUAAAACGUGACUGUCAGAAUCCCAUCUCUAAA